AAAAAUAUUAUCAGGAGGACAACUGCUACACCAAAAGCGAAUAAGCAUGAGUAACUAAGAAUUGGAAUAAUAAUAUGGAGUUUUGACAAUUUUCCAGCCAUGGUAAAUUUUACAGGGCAACAAUAAAUAGCUUCUCAUCACACUAAGUAGAUGUUCAACGCAUACAAAUUAUAAGCACUAAAAGAUCUCAACAGUUUGAGAACAAAUGAAAUGGAGUUUUGACAAUUUUCUAGCCAUGGUAAAUUUUACAGGGCAACAAUAAAUAGCUUCUCAUCACACUA
This 281-nucleotide long non-coding RNA is filed under the name Nicotiana benthamiana. RNAcentral's name for it is "long non-coding RNA (NBEN_LNC014077)". Lineage: Eukaryota; Viridiplantae; Streptophyta; Magnoliopsida; Solanales; Solanaceae. The record is from RNAcentral.